GGCUUCGUAGCUCAGUAGGAUAGAGCGGCGGUUUCCUAAACCGCGUCUUGCACGCGUUCGAAUCGCGUCGGGGCCA
Molecule: transfer RNA, 76 nt
Filed under: bacterium
Lineage: Bacteria
Description: tRNA-Arg
Rfam family: tRNA
About the family: Transfer RNA (tRNA) molecules are approximately 80 nucleotides in length. Their secondary structure includes four short double-helical elements and three loops (D, anti-codon, and T loops).
Source: RNAcentral